Molecule: long non-coding RNA, 511 nt
Organism: Dicentrarchus labrax (European seabass)
Lineage: Eukaryota; Metazoa; Chordata; Actinopteri; Moronidae
Exons: 3
Source: RefSeq, a predicted model, not a curated record
UCCAACUCUUGCCUCACAGGUUAGUUACUGACAGACAGUCAGUGAGUGUGUCUGUGUCCAACUCUUCCUCACAGGUUAGUUAAUGACAGACAGUCAGUGAGUGUGUCUGUGUCCAACUCUUCCUCACAGGUUAGUUAAUGACAGACAGUCAGUGAGUGUGUCUGUGUCCAACUCUUCCUCACAGGUUAGUUAAUGACAGACAGUCAGUGAGUGUGUCUGUGUCCAACUCUUCCUCACAGGUUAGUUAAUGACAGACAGUCAGUGAGUGUGUCUGUGUCCAACUCUUCCUCACAGGUUAGUUAAUGAUGUUACUGAGUCAAUGUGAGCAGAUUGUGUCUGUAGACUGAAGAGAAUCAGAGUCUCACUGAUGGUGGAAAUAAAGGUUGUACUUCCUUAAAACAGCCGUUUUUUGAAUGGAGUUUGGUGUGACAGUGUGGAGCAGAGGGGAUUUGAACCUUAAUAAUUCCCAUAAACUGAGCUGACCGACCUUCUAAUAAUGAACCUUGGAAAC